CGCCUCUUGCAUAAUAUAAGAAUAAGAGGUCCCGCCUGCCCUGUGACCGCAAGUUUAACGGCCGCGGUAUUUUGACCGUGCAAAGGUAGCGCAAUCACUUGUCUUUUAAAUAAAGACCUGUAUGAAUGGCAUAACGAGGGCUAAACUGUCUCCUCACCCUAGUUAAUGAAAUUGAUCCUCCCGUGCAGAAGCGGGAAUUAACUCAUAAGACGAGAAGACCCUGUGGAGCUUUAGAUAAACAGAUGAGUUUGUUAACAAUUAAACCUUGUGAAAGAUAAUAAACCUACAACCUCAUCUUAAUAUCUUUAGUUGGGGCGACCGCGGAGUAAAACAAAACCUCCGUGAGGAUUGAGGUGAAAACCUUAUACCCAAGAAAGUCAUUUCUAAGUACCAAAAAAUUUGACCUAUAGAUCCGGCAAUGACCGAUCAACGAACCUAGUUACCCCAGGGAUAACAGCGCAAUCCUCUUUAAGAGUCCCUAUCGACAAGGGGGUUUACGACCUCGAUGUUGGAUCAGGACAUCCUAAUGGUGUAGCCGCUAUUAAGGGUUCGUUUGUUCAACGAUUAAAGUCCU
Molecule: ribosomal RNA, 574 nt
Filed under: Hippocampus barbouri (Barbour's seahorse)
Lineage: Eukaryota; Metazoa; Chordata; Actinopteri; Syngnathiformes; Syngnathidae
Description: partial 16S ribosomal RNA
Rfam family: Bacterial large subunit ribosomal RNA
Source: RNAcentral